Molecule: long non-coding RNA, 558 nt
Filed under: Homo sapiens (human)
Lineage: Eukaryota; Metazoa; Chordata; Mammalia; Primates; Hominidae
Description: non-protein coding lnc-CDY1-12:1
Source: RNAcentral
AGAAAUGUAACAACUUUAGCAAGAGUGGUCAGUUACUAAGAGCAGUAUUUGAUCUCCUGAGAAGAAAAGAUUCAGAGCAUAGGGUUUAUAUUUACAGAAAUAUAUUUGUUUGUAAUGUAUGCAAGCUCAGGUCACAUAAUAAAAUUCCAGAAGGCUGGGAAAGGCUGUUAGAUACAAUAGGGUGCCAUAAGAGUCACUAUCAAAAAUGAGCAUAUCAGUGCAUAAAAUGUAUGGUAGCUUUAUUUAGCAGUUAUUCCAUUGUUUACCAUAUUUUGAAAGCUAACGGAAAUCUUAAAAAGAAAAUGGAUGAAAGAAGGCCAUAUACUGGAAACAAUUCAGUAUGUCUACAGAAAUUGGUCUCCUCCAGUACAAAACAAUAAAACAGCAAGUGGUUAUUUCUUAGAAAGAUCAAAUAGUGUUAGGAUGACAUUUGCAAAUGCUUGAGAACUUUGUCUAGAUAAGGGGCCAGAUGACCAAGAUGUCUUAGAUGGGCAUAAGACCUGUCCAACAGAAGAUGCUCCAUUAUUUCCUCAUUCAACAGGCUCUAUGUAUCAACAG